This is a non-coding RNA of Clostridium sp. CAG:417, 377 nucleotides long. NCBI's taxonomy places the organism in Bacteria, Bacillati, Bacillota, Clostridia, Eubacteriales, Clostridiaceae. The record is from Rfam.
GGGGAUGUAAUGGUUUCGACGGAAUUGUUUUCGCAUGGAUGGCAAGUCGAUUGUUCACGUUACGAACACAAAAAAAUAAAUGCAAAUAAAAUUAAAAAUGCUUUUGCAAACUUAUUUGGUGGAAACCAAGAGUUAGCAUUCGCCUAAUAAAUAAAAAGGUAAGCGUCUCUUCUAUUUGUACCUAGGUAAUAGAAAGAGAUUCAUUUUAUAGGUUAUGGUUAUUUUUUGUCUAGGAAAUAACAAGAAAUUUUAGACUGGUACAUUUAUUUUGUCGUUAACUACUUGAUAGGUGUAUAAGAUUAUUUAGUUAACUAAACUUGUAGAGGUUUAUGUAGAGGCUUUUUCGGACAGGAGUUCGAUUCUCCUCAUCUCCACCA